UACGUAGGGGGCAAGCGUUGUCCGGAUUUACUGGGCGUAAAGCGUGCGUAGGCGGUUGUUUAAGUGAGAUGUGAAAUCCCCGAGCUCAACUUGGGUGCUGCAUUUCAAACUGGAUAUCUAGAGUGCAGGAGAGGAAAGCGGAAUUCCUAGUGUAGCGGUGAAAUGCGUAGAGAUUAGGAAGAACACCAGUGGCGAAGGCGGCUUUCUGGACUGUAACUGACGCUGAGGCAUGAAAGCGUGGGGAGCAAACAGG
Molecule: ribosomal RNA, 253 nt
Filed under: uncultured bacterium
Lineage: Bacteria
Description: partial 16S ribosomal RNA
Rfam family: Bacterial small subunit ribosomal RNA
Source: RNAcentral